This 465-nucleotide ribosomal RNA is filed under the name uncultured bacterium. RNAcentral's name for it is "partial 16S ribosomal RNA". It matches the Rfam family "Bacterial small subunit ribosomal RNA", at positions 28 to 507 of the family's 1533-position model. The record is from RNAcentral.
GACGAACGCUGGCGGCGUGCUUAACACAUGCAAGUCGAACGGAAAGGCCCCUUCGGGGGUACUCGAGUGGCGAACGGGUGAGUAACACGUGAGUAACCUGCCCUCGACUUCGGGAUAACUUCAGGAAACUGGGGCUAAUACCGGAUAGGAAUCCUUGCUGCAUGGUGGGGGUUGGAAAGCUUCGGCGGUUUUGGAUGGACUCGCGGCUUAUCAGCUUGUUGGUGGGGUAGUGGCUUACCAAGGCUUUGACGGGUAGCCGGCCUGAGAGGGCGACCGGCCACAUUGGGACUGAGGUACGGCCCAGACUCCUACGGGAGGCAGCAGUGGGGAAUAUUGCACGAUGGGCGGAGGCCUGAUGCAGCAACGCCGCGUGCGGGAUGACGGCCUUCGGGUUGUAAACCGCUUUCAGCAGGGGCGAAGCUUGUGGUGACGGUACCUGCAGAAGAAGCACCGGCUAACUACGUG